Molecule: ribosomal RNA, 486 nt
Filed under: uncultured bacterium
Lineage: Bacteria
Description: partial 16S ribosomal RNA
Source: RNAcentral
GUAGUUAGCCGGGGCUUCCUCCUCAGGUACCGUCAUUGUGUUCGUCCCUGAGGACAGAGGUUUACAAUCCGAAAACCUUCUUCCCUCACGCGGCGUUGCUGGGUCAGGCUUUCGCCCAUUGCCCAAUAUUCCCCACUGCUGCCUCCCGUAGGAGUCUGGACCGUUUCUCAGUUCCAGUGUGGCCGAUCACCCUCUCAGGUCGGCUACCCAUCGUCGCCUUGGUGGGCCGUUACCUCACCAACUAGCUAAUGGGACGCGAACUCACCCCAUACCGGAUUGCUCCUUUGACCUCAACCCCAUGCGAGGUCGUGGUCUUAUGCGGUAUUAGCAGAUGUUUCCAUCUGUUAUCCCCCUGUACGGGACAGAUUGUUCACGCGUUACUCACCCGUCCGCCGCUAGAACACCGGCCGAAGCCAAUGUCCCCGCUCGACUUGCAUGUGUUAGGCACGCCGCCAGCGUUCGUCCUGAACCAAGAUCAAAUUCUGA